RNAcentral lists this ribosomal RNA (480 nucleotides) under uncultured bacterium. RNAcentral's name for it is "partial 16S ribosomal RNA". It matches the Rfam family "Bacterial small subunit ribosomal RNA", at positions 28 to 523 of the family's 1533-position model. The record is from RNAcentral.
GACGAACGCUGGCGGCGUGCUUAACACAUGCAAGUCGAACGGUAAGGCCCUUCGGGGUACACGAGUGGCGAACGGGUGAGUAACACGUGGGUGAUCUGCCCUGCACUUUGGGAUAAGCCUGGGAAGCUGGGUCUAAUACCGAAUACACCCUGCUGGCUGCAUGGCCUGGUGGGGGAAAGCUUUUGCGGUGUGGGAUGGGCCCGCGGCCUAUCAGCGUGUUGGUGGGGUGAUGGCCUACCAAGGCGACGACGGGUAGCCGGCCUGAGAGGGUGACCGGCCACACUGGGACUGAGAUACGGCCCAGACUCCUACGGGAGGCAGCAGUGGGGAAUAUUGCACAAUGGGCGCAAGCCUGAUGCAGCGACGCCGCGUGGGGGAUGACGGCCUUCGGGUUGUAAACCUCUUUCAGUAGGGACGAAGCGCAAGUGACGGUACCUACAGAAGAAGGACCGGCCAACUACGUGCCAGCCGCCGCGGUAA